AUCCUUUUGUAGUUCCUAAGUGUGAAGAAUGGGUGUUCAUGCAGAAGGGUGAGAUGUGCUACCCUCAAACCUUGUUCUGUGCACAUUACCCGUCUGACA
Small nucleolar RNA from Pongo abelii (Sumatran orangutan), 99 nucleotides. The record is from Ensembl. Lineage: Eukaryota; Metazoa; Chordata; Mammalia; Primates; Hominidae.